GGUCUCCCGUGAUGUCCAGCACUGGGCUCCGAUUACUCCCUGAGGACGCAGUGCCCCCAGGACCUUUGACAACCUGGGGAUCUGAGGGGCCU
This is a small nucleolar RNA of Capra hircus (goat), 92 nucleotides long. Lineage: Eukaryota; Metazoa; Chordata; Mammalia; Artiodactyla; Bovidae. The record is from Ensembl.